AAAAAAAUGCAAAAACAGCCUCGCGCGUCGAAAUGACGACGUGCAUGUUGGCCCACAUUUUGUGCACCGUUCCGUCUUUGGUGGUGGGGCGAGAGCAGCCAAAGCUUUCUUUGGCUGGUCCCUCGCCUGUCAGCUCGGACGCCGCGUUUGCCGCGUCCGAGCCGUGGACAAGCCACCGCCCUUUUCUUCAAACCUUUUUGCUUUGCCUUUUUUUCUGUCUGACACUCUUCGUUUGUAUGAAUGUACAAAA
RNAcentral lists this unclassified non-coding RNA (250 nucleotides) under uncultured fungus. Its description in RNAcentral is "sequence contains ITS1". Lineage: Eukaryota; Fungi. The record is from RNAcentral.